Molecule: ribosomal RNA, 493 nt
Filed under: uncultured bacterium
Lineage: Bacteria
Description: partial 16S ribosomal RNA
Rfam family: Bacterial small subunit ribosomal RNA
Source: RNAcentral
ACGAACGCUGACGGCGUGCUUAACACAUGCAAGUCGAACGGUGAAGCGCCUUCCUUUUUGGUGGGUGUGGAUGAGUGGCGAACGGGUGAGUAACACGUGAGUAACCUGCCCCCUUCUUCUGGAUAACCGCAUGAAAGUGUGGCUAAUACGGGAUAUUCUGGGUCUGUCGCAUGAUGGGUCUGGGAAAGAUAUUGUUUCGGUGGGGGAUGGGCUCGCGGCCUAUCAGCUUGUUGGUGGGGUGAUGGCCUACCAAGGCGGUGACGGGUAGCCGGCCUGAGAGGGUGGACGGUCACACUGGGACUGAGACACGGCCCAGACUCCUACGGGGGGCAGCAGUGGGGAAUAUUGCACAAUGGGCGCAAGCCUGAUGCAGCGACGCCGCGUGAGGGAUGGAGGCCUUCGGGUUGUGAACCUCUUUCGCCAGUGAAGCAGGCCUGCCUCGUUUGUGGGUGGGUUGACGGUAGCUGGAUAAGAAGCGCCGGCUAACUACGUG